AGCAUUUGGGUGUGUUCUUUUGUUUAACUUGUGACCAAAGAUGUAUAGACAGGUACAAAACUAAAUCCUCUUUCACAAGCUAGACUCAUUGUUAAUAUGAGUUUUGAUACAUAUAAGGAGGAAUACU
RNAcentral lists this small nucleolar RNA (127 nucleotides) under Castor canadensis (American beaver). RNAcentral describes it as "Small nucleolar RNA SNORA40 (ENSCCNG00000017903.1)". It matches the Rfam family "Small nucleolar RNA SNORA40". From Rfam's summary of the family: The snoRNA ACA 40 belongs to the H/ACA family of snoRNAs and guides the pseudouridylation of 28S rRNA subunit at position U4565. NB This family has a high threshold value to exclude a large number of closely related sequences that do not appear to have conserved H and ACA boxes, and may be pseudogenes. Lineage: Eukaryota; Metazoa; Chordata; Mammalia; Rodentia; Castoridae. The record is from Rfam by way of RNAcentral.